GUGCUUGCUUAGGUAGCACAUAUACUAAAAUUGGAACGAUACAGAGAAUAUUAGCAUGCCCCCUGCGCAAGGAUGACACGCAAAUUCAUGAAGCAUUCCAUAUUUUU
RNAcentral lists this small nuclear RNA (107 nucleotides) under Callithrix jacchus (white-tufted-ear marmoset). The record is from RNAcentral. Lineage: Eukaryota; Metazoa; Chordata; Mammalia; Primates; Cebidae.